AUUAAUAUAGUUUAAAAAAAACAUAACUUUUUCAAAGUUAAAAUAGAAUAAAUCUUGUUAAUA
RNAcentral lists this transfer RNA (63 nucleotides) under Bostrichoidea sp. 2 KM-2017. RNAcentral describes it as "tRNA-Glu". Lineage: Eukaryota; Metazoa; Arthropoda; Insecta; Coleoptera. The record is from RNAcentral.